RNAcentral lists this ribosomal RNA (252 nucleotides) under uncultured bacterium. RNAcentral's name for it is "partial 16S ribosomal RNA". It matches the Rfam family "Bacterial small subunit ribosomal RNA", at positions 524 to 776 of the family's 1533-position model. The record is from RNAcentral.
UACGGAGGAUGCGAGCGUUAUCCGGAUUUAUUGGGUUUAAAGGGUGCGUAGGCGGAGUGCCAAGUCAGCGGUAAAAAUUCGGGGCUCAACCCCGUCGUGCCGUUGAAACUGGCGCCCUUGAGUGGGCGAGAAGUAUGCGGAAUGCGUGGUGUAGCGGUGAAACGCAUAGAUAUCACGCAGAACCCCGAUUGCGAAGGCAGCAUACCGGCGCCCGACUGACGCUGAAGCACGAAAGCGUGGGUAUCGAACAGG